GCCAGUGUGACGUAGUGGUUUGAAUGUUUGACUAUGACUCUGGAGACCAGGGUUUGAUCCCUGCUUGGCCA
Molecule: non-coding RNA, 71 nt
Organism: Phrynosoma platyrhinos (Desert horned lizard)
Lineage: Eukaryota; Metazoa; Chordata; Lepidosauria; Squamata; Phrynosomatidae
Source: the annotation of a GenBank genome assembly